AGUUUCUCAAGCCUAACACAAGACCGGCUGGCAUUAGCUUUAUAGCAGAUGUUUCCCAUUCCAGCUCUCACAUCUCCCCGCCUCCACCAACAGGGAGAACAGUUGUAUUCACCAAACAGUGGGAUCUUCCUAAAUCAUCCUUCUGAACGGAAACCUCAGCAUCAAAGACAUGUCUCCUGGACUUGGAGUUGAAUGUUUACAAAUCACAAGCUCCACUGGCAGAGGAAAAGAAGAGAAAAGGAGAAGCAGCAGAACAUCAGAGACUACGGUUGGAUGUCAAAGAGCAGCAGCUUGAUUUAGAGGGACAGCUUGAUGGCGUUGCUUAGGAGUCUGUGGACAGUCGGACUCCAGGGGAAGACGAUCUUCUCACUCCAUCACUUUUUCAGCCCCCCUUCCAUCUGAGAGCCACUUUGGUCAGCAAUAAAAUCCCUGGCAUUUACCAUC
Symphalangus syndactylus (siamang) is the source of this 444-nucleotide long non-coding RNA. RefSeq lists it as uncharacterized. The record is from RefSeq and is a predicted model, not a curated record. NCBI's taxonomy places the organism in Eukaryota, Metazoa, Chordata, Mammalia, Primates, Hylobatidae.